AGCAGCCGCGGUAAUUCCAGCUCCAAUAGCGUAUAUUAAAGUUGUUGCAGUUAAAAAGCUCGUAGUUGAAUUUCGGGAUCAGUAGGUUGGUCAUGCCUUCGGUAUGUACUGGUCUCACUGAUUCCUCCCUCUUGAAGAACCGUAAUGUCAUUAAUUUGAUGUUGCGGGGAAACAGGACUGUUAACUUUGAAAAAUUAGAGUGUUUAAAGCAGGCUCACGCUUGAAUACAUUAGCAUGGAAUAAUGAAAUAGGACGUUCGAUCCUAUUUUGUUGGUUUCUAGGAUUGACGUAAUGAUUAAUAGGGAUAGUUGGGGGCAUUAGUAUUCAAUUGUCAGAGGUGAAAUUCUUGGAUUUAUUGAAGACUAACUACUGCGAAAGCAUUUGCCAAGGAUGUUUUCAUUAAUCAAGAACGAAAGUUAGGGGAUCGAAGACGAUCAGAUACCGUCGUAGUCUUAACCAUAAACUAUGCCGACUAGGGAUCGGAUGAUGUUAAUUUUUAAUGACUCAUUCGGCGCCUUAA
This 520-nucleotide ribosomal RNA is filed under the name uncultured Glomeromycotina. Its description in RNAcentral is "SSU rRNA". It matches the Rfam family "Eukaryotic small subunit ribosomal RNA", at positions 569 to 1091 of the family's 1831-position model. Lineage: Eukaryota; Fungi; Glomeromycota. The record is from RNAcentral.